Lolium perenne is the source of this 1090-nucleotide non-coding RNA. The record is from RefSeq and is a predicted model, not a curated record. NCBI's taxonomy places the organism in Eukaryota, Viridiplantae, Streptophyta, Magnoliopsida, Poales, Poaceae.
UUUGUACUGAUAAACAUAAGUGAGUUAUGUGCAGCAUAUCGGAGGUUAAUAUAUGCAAAUAUCAGGUUGUUUUGUACUGAUAAACAUAACUGAAUAAUAGAUACAUAUAUUAGCAUAUCUGAUGUGAUGGUCGAUGUGGGCCUUUUUCCUCCCCUCGGAAAACAACCACGAUGCUCUUCAUCGAAUUAACCUCCUGAUUUGGUUCAAUUGUGCAGGUUACAGUAGCGGCCAUGUUAGGAAGUGUUGGGCCUAUAGUGUUGAUUGCUUUUGUGGUAAACAAUAAUUUGUUCCGUCUUGAUUGCAAGCAUUUCAAUGAAACUGUAGUUUUUCAGCAAAAUAUUUCCAACUGACGGUUUAGUUUGCUAAGAGUUGUUCGUCUCUGUUCAUUUUAUGAUAGUAUUGAUUUGUGUAGCCGACUCAAACAACCUCAUAUAAACCAAAAUGAAUGCGAGAGAGAUUUCUUGCCCAGUUGUUAAAAUGGUUGGAAGCUUGCCAGAAAGACUAUCCAGGUUUACAUUCUAAUAUGAACAUUAGCCAUGAAUGGAAACAAGAUGGUUGUGCUGGAAAUGUAGACCCUCUAGAUUGAGAAAAUAUACAAGUUUACACUCUAAUAUAUAUAAAAAAAGGAUGUGCAUCAAACUUUGGUUGUAUGAUAAAUAGUGAAAACAAAGUUUAACAAUGUAUUUAUCGUGCCUCUACUGCAUAUUUCUUAUUGAUAUACUGGAAACUUGCUUCUAGGUGGAAUCAAGCUGCAUUGAAAUAAACAGAUAUUGUUUAUCUUUAUCCAUGAAAUUGCAUUUUAUUUUCAUGGGUCUAUUGGGAUAUGGAAUCUCUGUUGAAUCUCUGUUGGGUAUGAAAACUGCAUGAGCCCGCAUUAGUUGUGAAUAUCUCUAAUGUUUAAUAAAUUUUGUAUGUUGCAGGUUCAUGAUUUAUGCAGUAAUAUAAAUUAUCUAUUCAUAAACCGAGCUUUAGACUCAAGGUGAAUAAAUAAAAGUGAUAUAUAAGCACUGAAGGUUAUUAGACUCAUUAUUGUAUAAUGUAAAUAAAUACAUCUUUGAGAUGGCUGAAUUUGAAAUUUGCAUGUAAUAAA